CCUCUCCCCAACUCACAAAAUCUUUUAGGCCCAAAAUUCCUCUCUUCAUCACCUUCUCUACCGAGAGAAAGUCGGCGCAGUCAGAACAACAAAGAUCAACAUGAGGAAUUUGGUAGAUGGUCUAGACUAUCGGCUCUCGCCUUUGUUGACAAACUAAUGUAAAAUGAGAAGAAUGAGGUGAUUGUUGUAGAAAAUUACUCCAAUGGAUCAAAGGAUAAUCUAAAGCAAUGGAUUGAUCAUCCAAGAUUUGAGCUAAUUCGUGAAGUGUUACUGAUACAAAUACUAAUGGAAUUCAUGUCUGGAAAUUUGAUUAAGUCCCUUAACAAAUUAGACGUUGAACUUAGUGAUGUGGAGAGCGAGUCUACUUCCCCUCAUGGAUGUAAGAGUAGCAUCAAGCUAUAACAAUGUAAAUCACCAAGCAAGUACAUUGCACUUUGUAUAUUUAUUUAUUGAGGAUGAGGAUCUACUCUUUAUAGUAUAAUGUUUAAGUUAUCAUACAUUUAUUUGUAUAAUUUUAGUUUGAUGUGAAUUUAAAAUUAUGAUGUUUGUUAGUAUUGAUAUUUUUAAUGGAA
Nicotiana tabacum (common tobacco) is the source of this 572-nucleotide long non-coding RNA. RefSeq lists it as uncharacterized. NCBI's taxonomy places the organism in Eukaryota, Viridiplantae, Streptophyta, Magnoliopsida, Solanales, Solanaceae. The record is from RefSeq and is a predicted model, not a curated record.